CAAAAAAUAAAGAACCCUAUACUUAUACGUUCAAGAGGAAAAGCUAAGAAAGCUAAGGGUGGUUCUUCAUCAUCUAAAAAAGGUAAAGAGAAAAUACUUGAAGAAGUAGUUGGAGAACUAGUUGAAGAACUAGAUGAAGAAGUAGAUGAAGAGACAAAGUGAAGAAGAAGCUGCAACUUUUGAAUGUAAUGACUCAGAUGAAGAAGAAAUUGAAGGAUAUGUUGCUGAGUUUGCAGCUGUGGAGGAUGAUGUUGGGGAGGAGGACGAUAUUUAGAAAAUUAUAUCUUUUGCAUUUUGUAUUUGUGUUAUCCUUUCAUUUUUAGUUGUGAAUGUUGACAAGACUUAUUUGUAUUGUUUGUUACUUUUUAGUGAUCUUUAUGAUACAUUAAUAUUUAAUGGUUUUUAUUAAACUUUAUGUUAUUGUUUGUGUAUUUAUUUAUUUUUUUCCUAUUAUGUUAUAUUUUUUAUUUAUUUUUUCAACCGCCAUGAUGACGUCCGCCAUUUGCCCGCAACACCGUUCGCAACGCCUUCAUGGCUGAAUUUUGGCAGCUGCCAUGGGCAACACUGCUCAUCGGUUAGCCUUCACUGACCUUGCAUUCGUCUGAAGGCAUAACUUGUAAACCAUUGUCAAAACCAAUAUCAUUCUAUUUUGAACCCCUUCAAAAGCUUGAACCCAUCUAGUCUAUCAUAAAUGAGAUUAUCAAAAUUCUCUCCAUCCAUGUAUCACCUACCCGAAAGAACAUACGGGUUUUAUCAAGAUAGAUCUCAUUCACCGAAACCUCUUUAACUAAAAGAAAACGAUAAACCACGAUAACUACCGGAGAGAAUGACUAAAUUGUUAUAGUCAUCGGAGAGAGGGACCGAACCACUAGGUACACCGUUAACUAUAUCUCAUUACCAUCACCGCCCUAGAAGGAAGAGAAGAAGGAGGAUGAAAUAAAAUAAGGAAGAAAGAUAAUGAAAACAAGAACGAAGACGAUGGCUACCUCUUUUUGUAGAGCCACCGCGAUGAUAGAUGGGAACCACCGUCGAGAAUAAGAGCCCGAAUAUGGAACCACUGUCUGGACGUGAACCACCGUAACGCCACCCUUGCCACUACCGCGCCACCUCCUUGGCUACCAUCGUGAACCAAGCUGAGGGAGAGGAGGAUUAGGGAAAAAGAGAAGGUUAGGGAUUUUGAAAUCCAUUUGGGGAUUUUUUGGGUUCUAAGGACCCGUAUGUAACCGCUGUUCCCCUAUAUUUUUGUUAAGUUUGUG
This 1256-nucleotide long non-coding RNA is filed under the name Lupinus angustifolius (narrow-leaved blue lupine). RNAcentral describes it as "long non-coding RNA (LANG_LNC003219)". Lineage: Eukaryota; Viridiplantae; Streptophyta; Magnoliopsida; Fabales; Fabaceae. The record is from RNAcentral.